This 367-nucleotide RNase P RNA is filed under the name Pseudoluteimonas lycopersici. RNAcentral's name for it is "Lysobacter lycopersici Bacterial RNase P class A". It matches the Rfam family "Bacterial RNase P class A". From Rfam's summary of the family: Ribonuclease P (RNase P) is a ubiquitous endoribonuclease, found in archaea, bacteria and eukarya as well as chloroplasts and mitochondria. Its best characterised activity is the generation of mature 5'-ends of tRNAs by cleaving the 5'-leader elements of precursor-tRNAs. Lineage: Bacteria; Pseudomonadati; Pseudomonadota; Gammaproteobacteria; Lysobacterales; Lysobacteraceae. The record is from Rfam by way of RNAcentral.
GGAGCCGGCCAGACAGUCGCGUCAUCGGAAACGAUGCCGAGGAAAGUCCGGGCUCCACAGGGCACGGUGCCAGGUAACGCCUGGGCGGCGCGAGCCGACGGAAAGUGCAACAGAAAGAUACCGCCGAACGGCAUCGCGAGAUGCGCGUGGCAAGGGUGAAAUGGUGCGGUAAGAGCGCACCGCGAGUCGGGCAACCGACCGGCACGGCAAACCCCACCGGGAGCAAGGCCAAAUAGGGAAGCGAUGUCGUGGCCCGCGACGCUUCCGGGUAGGCUGCUCGAGCGUAUCGGCGACGGUGCGCCUAGAGGAAUGACUGUCGCGGCGCGCAAGCGUCGAACAGAACCCGGCUUAUCGGCCGACUUCGCCU